AUUGAACGCUGGCGGCAUGCCUUACACAUGCAAGUCGAACGGUAACAGGUCUUCGGAUGCUGACGAGUGGCGAACGGGUGAGUAAUGCAUCGGAACGUGCCCAGACGUGGGGGAUAACGAGGCGAAGGCUUUGCUAAUACCGCAUACGAUCUAAGGAUGAAAGCAGGGGACCGCAAGGCCUUGCGCGUUUGGAGCGGCCGAUGGCAGAUUAGGUAGUUGGUGGGAUAAAAGCUUACCAAGCCGACGAUCUGUAGCUGGUCUGAGAGGACGACCAGCCACACUGGGACUGAGACACGGCCCAGACUCCUACGGGAGGCAGCAGUGGGGAAUUUUGGACAAUGGGCGAAAGCCUGAUCCAGCAAUGCCGCGUGCAGGAUGAAGGCCUUCGGGUUGUAAACUGCUUUUGUACGGAACGAAAAGGCUCUGGCUAAUACCUGGGGCACAUGACGGUACCGUAAGAAUAAGCACCGGCUAACUACGUGCCAGCAGCCGCGGUAA
RNAcentral lists this ribosomal RNA (498 nucleotides) under uncultured bacterium. RNAcentral describes it as "partial 16S ribosomal RNA". It matches the Rfam family "Bacterial small subunit ribosomal RNA", at positions 30 to 523 of the family's 1533-position model. The record is from RNAcentral.